UAUACGUAAUAAUUAGCAGGGUUAAAAGUUUUAGCUCGAAAGAAAAGAAACAUGGCGAGCAGAGCAGAGGAUCCAUCUCAAAAUAGCUCCGGCUUACUGACAACGCCGUCGUUUCUCCUCGAAACCGUCUUACUCUUCUUCUACAAAAGCGCAGCCGCAAAUCGGUACCGACGGCGUUGAUGCCGAGCGCGGGAAUAAGCAGAUUACUUUCCGAAAUUCCCGCGAAGAAUCCUUUUACUUGUCUCUUAGAUGAAAUCUCCGAUAUUUGCUCUCUCUCAGGAAUUUGUUUAUCUACAUCAUCAAUUCCACAGUUUUUCACUUGAUUGAUUCGUCCCAUAACUUGCAGGCAAAGAUUGAAUCGGAUUUAUGCACCAGGGUUAUCCGUGUUGAUCUUGAGCUGGGCCACUAAACUUUUGCAUCAGUAAGUUGCCUGGUCUAUCCUCACUGUGAAUCUUACAUGGAUUAUCCAAAUUCUUGAUGCUUCUUUGAUGUAUAUCAACUACUUGCUUUUUUGUAUGUAAACCAUUGUCAUUAAGUUUUAUUUUGUUGCAAGUUGUGUGUUAAUUUAACUUAAUUAUAUUGUCAUGUAAAAGUAUGAAUAGAUACAUCAUACAUGUGUGUUAAAGUGCUUGAAAAUAAAUAAAUACAACUACUAUCUA
Molecule: long non-coding RNA, 659 nt
Organism: Salvia splendens (bonfire salvia)
Lineage: Eukaryota; Viridiplantae; Streptophyta; Magnoliopsida; Lamiales; Lamiaceae
Exons: 2
Source: RefSeq, a predicted model, not a curated record